RNAcentral lists this small RNA (1429 nucleotides) under Pan troglodytes (chimpanzee). RNAcentral's name for it is "retained intron". Lineage: Eukaryota; Metazoa; Chordata; Mammalia; Primates; Hominidae. The record is from RNAcentral.
CGCGGCGGAGACGAUGCCUGAGAUCAGAGUCACGCCCUUGGGGGCCGGCCAGGACGUGGGCCGAAGCUGCAUCCUGGUCUCCAUUGCGGGCAAGAAUGUCAUGCUGGACUGUGGAAUGCACAUGGGCUUCAAUGACGACGUGAGUCCCUUGGGCAGGAGGCCCAGAGGCUGGGAGAGCCGGCCAUCCACAGUUGGACCCUGGGCCUCAGAGCCGGGACAGUGGGGUGGUGGGCAGCAGUGGUUGUGCUUGGACGGCUGCACCCUGUGGGGAGCAGGGAUGGGUGGGCCUGGCCGAGGUGAGCCCCUGCAUGGUGAGGUCCCCCUAUGCUGGCGCUGAGCCCCAGCCCCAGGGUCCUGUAGGCUGGGCUCCGUGAGACCCUGGGCUCAGCUUCCAGCUCACAUCUGUCAGUGAGGUUGGGGGUAACCUCGGCCCCUCCGGAUGCUGUGAGCAGCCAGGGGUCCUGGUGCCACCUGCGGGAUGGGAGUGCCCAGCCUGAGUCUGCACAUAGAACCCCCCUUCCUGGGGGCCCCUCCCUGGGGCAUGGGUGGCCCCAGAUGCUGCCUGGAGACCACUGUGCAACCUGAAACCCCCACAUCCUUCCUAGCGACGCUUCCCUGACUUCUCCUACAUCACCCAGAACGGCCGCCUAACAGACUUCCUGGACUGCGUGAUCAUUAGGCCAUCUGCCCCAUCUUGCUGGAGGACUACCGCAAGAUCGCCGUAGACAAGAAGGGCGAGGCCAACUUCUUCACCUCCCAGAUGAUCAAAGACUGCAUGAAGAAGGUGGUGGCUGUCCACCUCCACCAGACGGUCCAGGUAGAUGAUGAGCUGGAGAUCAAGGCCUACUAUGCAGGCCACGUGCUGGGGGCAGCCAUGUUCCAGAUUAAAGUGGGCUCAGAGUCUGUGGUCUACACGGGUGAUUAUAACAUGACCCCAGACCGACACUUAGGAGCUGCCUGGAUUGACAAGUGCCGCCCCAACCUGCUCAUCACAGAGUCCACGUACGCCACGACCAUCCGUGACUCCAAGCGCUGCCGGGAGCGAGACUUCCUGAAGAAAGUCCACGAGACCGUGGAGCGUGGUGGGAAGGUGCUGAUACCUGUGUUCGCGCUGGGCCGCGCCCAGGAGCUCUGCAUCCUCCUGGAGACCUUCUGGGAGCGCAUGAACCUGAAGGUGCCCAUCUACUUCUCCACGGGGCUGACCGAGAAGGCCAACCACUACUACAAGCUGUUCAUCCCCUGGACCAACCAGAAGAUCCGCAAGACUUUCGUGCAGAGGAACAUGUUUGAGUUCAAGCACAUCAAGGCCUUCGACCGGGCUUUUGCUGACAACCCAGGACCGAUGGUUGUGUUUGCCACGCCAGGAAUGCUGCACGCUGGGCAGUCCCUGCAGAUCUUCCGGAAAUGGGCCGGAAACGAAAAGAACAUG